Molecule: long non-coding RNA, 814 nt
Organism: Lagopus leucura (white-tailed ptarmigan)
Lineage: Eukaryota; Metazoa; Chordata; Aves; Galliformes; Phasianidae
Exons: 4
Source: RefSeq, a predicted model, not a curated record
GCAGCCGCACCGCCCCCUGUUCCGCCCCGGGCGCGGGGUUCCGUUUUCCGGAGACCUCCUCGUCUUAUCUGAACCGAGCGCGCAGCUGCCGCGCGUUAAUAACGAAGUGGAGAAGUGAAACAUGGCUGUGACAAAGGGAGGGGAAACCCGGCACCGCAGAUUCCUGCUUUCGGGCCGACGUCACCCGGUCCUCGUGGGUCACAGCAGGGAGUUUCCCAGCUGGCAGUGAGGGCUAUGAGACACUGGUAGGGAUGGGCUGCGGCCGCACAGAUCGCAUAUGGGCACAUCGACCGACGUGAUGUGGAGAGCUGUGCUGUGCAUCCACGCUGUCCUGUCUGUGACCCCGCACAAGGCAGGAUUGAUUUCAUCUUCGUCUCAUAGCAGCCGACCCCAGGGAUUCCACACCCAGGAAGCGCCUACGAACAAUGGUCAUCUCAUUGAGGUCUGCUUCCAUGGGUAGAGCCCACAGCCCAGCUGGGAGAGCCAGAGCAGCGACUUUGCUGACACUUCCUCGCUCCCCCUUUGCACCACCGCUCCUCAGCGGCUCCAGGAGACAGAAAGAGGUUGGUGAGAGUUGGCUGCAAUGUCAUCUGCAGCCCAGCUGGUGUGGGACACUCGACGGGAGGGGAAAGGAGCUCUGCUCUUCAGCUUCUCGUCGUGGUGUUUCAUGGUUGGGAGGCACCAAACUCCCGUAAAAACGCUGUCCCUGUUUGCUCUGCUUUGCACUUCUCACGGGACAGAAAGUUUGGUAUUUCUGUACACUGCUUACUGUCUGGCUUAUUCAAAGCAACAAAAAUAAACACCAUUAAGUCUG